RNAcentral lists this ribosomal RNA (275 nucleotides) under uncultured bacterium. RNAcentral's name for it is "partial 16S ribosomal RNA". It matches the Rfam family "Bacterial small subunit ribosomal RNA", at positions 338 to 608 of the family's 1533-position model. The record is from RNAcentral.
CCUACGGGGGGCUGCAGUCGAGAAUCUUCGGCAAUGGGCGCAAGCCUGACCGAGCGACGCCACGUGCGGGAUGACGGCCCUCGGGUUGUAAACCGCUGUCGGGGGGGAUGAAGUCGCGGGAGGCAAUCCUCUCGCGUUGACAGAGCCCCGGAGGAAGCGCGGGCUAAGUACGUGCCAGCAGCCGCGGUAAGACGUACUGCGCGAACGUUAUUCGGAAUCACUGGGCUUAAAGGGUGCGCAGGCGGCUCUCCAAGCCCGAAGUGAAAGGUCCCGGC